CGUCGAGUGGCGGACGGGUGAGUAAUACGUAAGAAUUUGCCUUUAGGAGGGGGACAACAACUGGAAACGGUUGCUAAUACCCCAUAUGCUUUCGAGUGAAAUGGAUUUUUCCGCCUAGAGAGAAGCUUGCGGCUGAUUAGCUUGUUGGUGAGGUAAUGGCUUACCAAGGCGACGAUCAGUAUCUGGUUUGAGAGGACGAUCAGACACACUGGAACUGAGACACGGUCCAG
RNAcentral lists this ribosomal RNA (230 nucleotides) under uncultured bacterium. Its description in RNAcentral is "partial 16S ribosomal RNA". It matches the Rfam family "Bacterial small subunit ribosomal RNA", at positions 89 to 334 of the family's 1533-position model. The record is from RNAcentral.